This 213-nucleotide unclassified non-coding RNA is filed under the name soil metagenome. RNAcentral describes it as "partial contains 5.8S ribosomal RNA, internal transcribed spacer 2, and large subunit ribosomal RNA". The record is from RNAcentral.
AAGACUAUAGACCUGCGGAGUACCUGCGGAGGGAUCAUUACUGUGGUAGGCGGCCCUUCGGGGCAUGUCCCGCCCGAGAUAGAACCCUUGCCUUUGAGUACCGUUCGUUUCCUCGGCAGGCUCGCCUGCCAAUGGGGACCCAAACCAAACCUCUUUGUAUUGCAGUAACCGUCUCAAAACAAUAAAUAUCAAAACUUUUAACAAUGGAUCUCU